UACGUAGGGUGCGAGCGUUGUCCGGAAUUAUUGGGCGUAAAGAGCUCGUAGGCGGUCUGUCGCGUCGAUCGUGAAAACUUGGGGCUUAACCCUGAGCUUGCGGUCGAUACGGGCAUGACUGGAGUUCGGCAGGGGAGACUGGAAUUCCUGGUGUAGCGGUGAAAUGCGCAGAUAUCAGGAGGAACACAGGUGGCGAAGGCGGGUCUCUGGGCCGAUACUGACGCUGAGGCACGAAGGUCAGGGGAGCAAACGGG
RNAcentral lists this ribosomal RNA (254 nucleotides) under uncultured bacterium. RNAcentral's name for it is "partial 16S ribosomal RNA". It matches the Rfam family "Bacterial small subunit ribosomal RNA", at positions 524 to 776 of the family's 1533-position model. The record is from RNAcentral.